CUGAAGGAGGAGGAAGUGGAGAAGGAAGGCGGAAGUCCUGGUUAAACACAGAUCUGGCAACAACAGCAAAAUCAUGGAACACAAAUGACAGAAAACACUAUAUUGGCAUCCUAACGUACAGCAACGGAACUUGGAAGAAAACAAGCUAUAGUGGCUCCAUGGUCUAUCAUAAACAGAAGCUCUAGAAACUGCAGUUCAAUAUUUACUGGUAACUUUCACCAAAUCUAAAAUGGUAGAACCAUUUUAAGAAGGAGGAACUUUUCUCCUGUCCUUCCUCAGUGCAUAUGUCUGAAACCAAGAG
Molecule: long non-coding RNA, 301 nt
Organism: Mauremys mutica (yellowpond turtle)
Lineage: Eukaryota; Metazoa; Chordata; Testudines; Geoemydidae
Exons: 3
Source: RefSeq, a predicted model, not a curated record